UGCAGGAGUAUCUCAGCAGGUCAGGGCAGGGCAGGGUCUCUGGAGAACCUGGAUAGGUGAUGUGUUGGGUUAAGGCCCUUCGUUACCAUGGAGAAAUGUUAUCUAUGCCAGAAGAAUAAGUAUAUAAUAUAGAAAUAAGUCACUUUAGACUUUACUUUAACUUUAGAGGUGCAGCGCAGAAAUAGACCCUUCAACACACUGACCAAUGAUCACUAACACUACACUAGCGACAAUUUACAAUUUACCUACAAACCUGAAUGUUUUUGGAAUGAGAGGGUAAACUAGAGCACCCGGAGAAACCCCCCCGCAGGGAAUCACAGGGAGGAACGUGCAAACUCCAUACAGACAGGCACCCGUGGUCAGGAUCGAACCCGGGUCUACGGCGCUGAAAGGCAGCAGCUCUACCGCUGCGCCCAGCCACACCACACCACCCUGUGUGCCGCCCAAAUACAAACACGAAGCAACAGAGCGGAGACGGGAAAGCAGUGAGACUCCUCCUGGCUUCACAUGAAGAGUGCAGACCGCUGCUGGCUACUGCCCCCCACCAGCUCCUCCCUGCUCACAGUCACAGAUACAAAGUGCCAGCCUCCUUCCUUGCUGACAAACCGAAAUCGUCUUUGUGACCAGCGUCCCCCCGCACACCAGUCACGUCCUGAGCCCACAAGGCAGCCAAUCUUCCAUGGUUUAGGAGUGAUUGGAUUUGAUGUGGAGCCUUGUAGCUGCUGCUGGAUUGAAACCUCCACCACCCACAUUGCCUGGCAGUCCCAGCUGGGCACAGAACAGUUGAGUUUGCAGGCCAAUGCCUUCGGGAGACGAGACACAAGGAAUAAACAUGGAAAUGGGCCCUUCAGCCGACUGAGUCCAUGCUGAUCACCAAUCACCCAUUCACACCAGUCCUAUGUUGGCCCCAUAACAGAAGCAUCCACGUCGUGGGGCUGGAAACUGGAAGUAUCCCGAGCUAAUUCUGCUACCACCAUCAUCUAUUGCAACCAGUGAUGGCUCCCACUAAUUGUUGCCAGAAGCCUGCGUCCUUUUCAAGACAGACGAUGACAGCGAUGUCAACAUUUGAAACAUGGAAGAUGGGCAUGAAAGAAGAAGUUCUAUGUUAUCCCACAUUCUCUCCCACCUCCUACACACUAGUGGUGAUUUUACCUACUGUCGGCCAAUUAACCUACAAACCCAUCUUUGGGACCUGUGAGGAAACCCACGUGUUCAUAGGGAGAAUGUGCAAACUCCACACAGAUAGCAGCCGAGAUCAGGAUCGAACCCGGGUCUCUGGCGCUGUGAGGCAGCAGCACUGCCAGCUGAGCCACCGUGCCAUUCUCUACAGGAAUUAUCAAAGUAGCUCUAAAAUUCAGCUCGUUCAAUUAUAUCUCCUUCAUGCAGUCACUUCAACUGUAUCUCAACCUCUUCUCAACCUCAACCCAGCACACAGACUGUUCUCCUUGUUAACGUCAGGCAGACGAUACACGGGCAUGGCUGCACGCACCACCAGACUUAAGAACGGUUUUUACCAUCAGGCCAUCAGGUUUCUGAACUCAUAAACACAUUUCACAUCAUAUAUGUUGAUUAUUUUAUUAUUGUCUUUUUACCUUACCAAUGUCAUUUUGAUCUCAUUUAUCCUUGUUAUAUUAUUGCUGAGGUGACCCGUUGUCUUGUCAAACACAUUUCAUUGUACCGUUGACCCUGUGUUAUCUUACAUAUGACAAAUAAAAGUGAAUUUAACUGAAUUGA
This is a long non-coding RNA of Leucoraja erinaceus (little skate), 1734 nucleotides long. RefSeq lists it as uncharacterized. The record is from RefSeq and is a predicted model, not a curated record. NCBI's taxonomy places the organism in Eukaryota, Metazoa, Chordata, Chondrichthyes, Rajiformes, Rajidae. The transcript is spliced from 2 exons.